CAGACUAGGAGACAGCAGCCCAGUCACAGCAGGAACCUCUCAGACAGCCCGGCGGCCUUCCUUCGCACCUGACGUGGAUUCUUAUUCCCGGACAUCCAAAAGAUAAAUGCAGAUGGAUAAAAUCCAUAGCAGAGCACCCCAUCCCAGGAAAUAAAGCCUUCUAGCAGCAGUCAAGGCGAGGUGGUCAAGGCAAUCCAUUUGGAGUACACAUAACUCCCCGUCAGACACUGGCCGACGGACCGUGAUUGUUGUUUUUUGGAGCCCUGUGGAAGUAUUACAGGACUCGGCGAUGAAGCCUCUGCCUUUUCGAUUUAAAGGAGUCACCCGGAGAGACUUUGGCAAUGCCGAGGAGUCACGGCGAGUCGGGAAUAGGGAGGAGCAGCGGGGGUCCACUCCGGUUUCAGCGACACCGCAUCACCUUCUCUCCUCUCAAGCGAGGCGAACCCCGUGACGACAGCGUCAGCCUCCGAGUGCAGCCAAAUCGUCCAGCCCAAGGAGGCUGGCAUUGUUAUGAGAACGG
This is a long non-coding RNA of Passer domesticus (house sparrow), 520 nucleotides long. RefSeq lists it as uncharacterized. The transcript has 4 exons. The record is from RefSeq and is a predicted model, not a curated record. NCBI's taxonomy places the organism in Eukaryota, Metazoa, Chordata, Aves, Passeriformes, Passeridae.